GGACCCUCCCAGGAGCUGCUGUGAAACCAGAGCGACACCUUUAGAAAUGGCCCACAUCAUCUCGUGGAGGGGGGGUGACAAGGGUGCUCAUGCCUUAGCAGGAACACUGCCCCCAGCAGGUAGAGCCUCAUGCCAGCGGUGCUGUGCCCUCAUGGUCAGUCCUCAGCCAGCCGUCUGCCAACCUUCUGUCCAGGCCAGUCCUCCACGUGCCCCCUUCGGUGGACUCUGGGGAUAUCGUCAAUCCUCCGGGAGUUCCGGACACUCAGGGCUUUUCCACGUGAGAACAUGUCUUUUCUGCGA
Balaenoptera musculus (blue whale) is the source of this 300-nucleotide long non-coding RNA. RefSeq lists it as uncharacterized. NCBI's taxonomy places the organism in Eukaryota, Metazoa, Chordata, Mammalia, Artiodactyla, Balaenopteridae. The transcript has 3 exons. The record is from RefSeq and is a predicted model, not a curated record.